UGGGGAAUCUUGGACAAUGGGGGCAACCCUGAUCCAGCCAUGCCGCGUGUGUGAAGAAGGCCUUCGGGUUGUAAAGCACUUUCAGUAGGGAGGAAGGCUUACCGCUAAUAACGGUGAGUACUUGACGUUACCUACAGAAGAAGCACCGGCUAAUUUCGUGCCAGCAGCCGCGGUAAUACGAAAGGUGCGAGCGUUAAUCGGAAUUACUGGGCGUAAAGCGCGCGUAGGCGGUUUGUUAAGUCAGAUGUGAAAGCCCCGGGCUCAACCUGGGAAUUGCAUUUGAAACUGGCAGGCUAGAGUGCAGUAGAGGGAGGUGGAAUUUCCGGUGUAGCGGUGAAAUGCGUAGAGAUCGGAAGGAACACCAGUGGCGAAGGCGGCCUCCUGGACUGACACUGACGCUGAGGUGCGAAAGCGUGGGGAGCAAACAGG
Molecule: ribosomal RNA, 429 nt
Filed under: uncultured bacterium
Lineage: Bacteria
Description: bacterial SSU rRNA
Rfam family: Bacterial small subunit ribosomal RNA
Source: RNAcentral